Molecule: unclassified non-coding RNA, 268 nt
Filed under: Hevea brasiliensis (rubber tree)
Lineage: Eukaryota; Viridiplantae; Streptophyta; Magnoliopsida; Malpighiales; Euphorbiaceae
Source: RNAcentral
UGAAGUGCAACUGUGAUGCUAUUGUGCUUCGAAGAGAAGAUUAUUUGGGAGCUGGAUGAGUUAUUAGUGAUAUUUCUUGUUCUUUGUUGAAUGCGUGUCAAGUGGCUGUGUUUGGGCCUCCAAAAACUGGUGUCGCUGAAGCUUUGGCUCUUCCAAGUGCUCUUUCCUAGGUCAGCAUGCUUCUUUGCAAAAUGUUGUAUUCAAAUUUGACUCCCAAGUUAGAGAGUUCAUGCUGUAGAUUGUUCCCAUUUGGACUUUUCAUAUUUUG